AUGAAGCCAAAGAUGGCGGCAGAGGGGGCGGGGAGGGUCCUGCCUGGCCAGUCCAAGGCCCUUUCCCAGCCUGAGACUCCCUGUUCCUCCCUCAGGCCAGGGAAGGGCCUGGGAACCCCUCUGACCCUCCCCCUCUCUCUUUCCCCCAGGCACACACAGAGGAAGUCUCCCCCCCCCUCCGGGCUGCCACCCCCUGAAGGACCCCAGGGUGGCCCCAGCAGAGAGCCCCCAGCCAGAGGAAUGGCCCCUGGGACCCCGAGGCCCCCUCCCAGUUUUGCUGCUUCCAGGACUUUUCUGUCACUAUGGGUAGGAGGCCCUAAUGGUGGAUACAGAAUAGAAAGUUGAAUGUAGCAAGCAGGAAAGUAACAUAUAUCUUUCCUCUUUUUGGAGGCCUCAAAACAUAAGGGACAGUCCUGAGGCCACUGAUCAACUGCCACCUUGACUUUUCUCCCCAGCACCAUCCCUAGUUAAUUUGUUACACCAAAGUGUUCCUAUCUCAAACAAAGAAUGUAAACACACCUUUUCCUGGGAUGAAUUAGCUUUUGUCUACACACCAAUUUGCCUCAUAAUCUGGUUGCAUUCACCAAGCUUAUCCCUUGAUAUGGACAAAUAAUAAUAAAUUAGCUGGAGGUGGGGAAACUGAUGCA
Molecule: long non-coding RNA, 647 nt
Filed under: Monodelphis domestica (gray short-tailed opossum)
Lineage: Eukaryota; Metazoa; Chordata; Mammalia; Didelphimorphia; Didelphidae
Description: lncRNA (ENSMODG00000051402.1)
Source: RNAcentral